RNAcentral lists this ribosomal RNA (430 nucleotides) under uncultured bacterium. Its description in RNAcentral is "bacterial SSU rRNA". It matches the Rfam family "Bacterial small subunit ribosomal RNA", at positions 354 to 796 of the family's 1533-position model. The record is from RNAcentral.
GUGGGGAAUAUUGCACAAUGGGCGCAAGCCUGAUGCAGCAACGCCGCGUGCGGGAUGACGGCCUUCGGGUUGUAAACCGCUUUCAGUUCCGACUAAGCGCAAGUGACGGUAGGAACAGAAGAAGGACCGGCCAACUACGUGCCAGCAGCCGCGGUGAUACGUAGGGUCCGAGCGUUGUCCGGAAUUAUUGGGCGUAAAGGGCUUGUAGGCGGUUUGCUGCGUCGGAAGUGAAAACUCAGGGCUUAACCCUGAGCCUGCUUCCGAUACGGGCAAACUAGAGGGAUGCAGGGGAGAAUGGAAUUCCUGGUGGAGCGGUGGAAUGCGCAGAUAUCAGGAGGAACACCGGUGGCGAAGGCGGUUCUCUGGGCAUUUCCUGACGCUGAGAAGCGAAAGCGUGGGGAGCAAACAGGCUUAGAAACCCUAGUAGUCC